CCAUCUAGAAGCUUCCCUUCCUCUUUCUAUCACUUUGGUUUUAUUGUUUGUUUCAUACAUAUCUUUCACUCUCCCAUUCUUAUUUUUCAUUCUCACGUUUCUCUCAUCUGUUCUUUUUUUCUUUCUAUUCGCCUUUUCCUCUCUCAUGUUUGGUUUUCUACUAUUUUUUUCUUAUUUUCUUUCUCUCUACCUCUUUGGUUUGCUUCACUAUGAGUUUUGCUCUUCAUGGGAAUUUCAUAAAUGAAAUCAAGACUCAAUCAUUAAAGCCACCACUUAUAGUGUCAACAAGAAGAACAAGGGGACGUUAUUGAAAGAACGACAAAUGUUGCAAUCUCAAGCUAUCGCCUAGGUUUAUUUCAUUAAGAAUUUGUUGAACAUUCUCUGAGGAUGAUGGGAAAUCGUUGUGAUUAAAGCUGAAGCAGGGGUGAUGUGAUUCAUUUUGCACUAUUUUACUUCUUUGUUGUCUAAUGUUUUUAACACUUACAGUAAAAUUUGUGAGUAAUUAGUGAUGAAUUUUUUCACCUUUUCCUUUCCUCUCUUUUUGUAGCUGGUAUUUGCUGAUGUAAUUCAGAUUUGAAUUUUUUUUGUCAUGAUAAUUAUCAUUAUUUGUCUCAUUGAGAGAUUAAA
This is a long non-coding RNA of Theobroma cacao (cacao), 627 nucleotides long. RefSeq lists it as uncharacterized. The record is from RefSeq and is a predicted model, not a curated record. NCBI's taxonomy places the organism in Eukaryota, Viridiplantae, Streptophyta, Magnoliopsida, Malvales, Malvaceae.